ACUCCUACGGGAGGCAGCAGUCGAGAAUUUUUCUCAAUGGGGGAAACCCUGAAGGAGCGACGCCGCGUGGAGGAUGAAGGUCUUCGGGUUGUAAACUCCUGUCAUUUGGGAACAAGGUGCAGCAGUUAACUGCUACUGCAUUGAUAGUACCAGAAGAGGAAGAGACGGCUAACUCUGUGCCAGCGGCCGCGGUAAUACAGAGGUCUCAAGCGUUGUUCGGAUUCAUUGGGCGUAAAGGGUGCGUAGGUGGCGCGGUAAGUCGGGUGUGAAAUUUCGGAGCUUAACUCCGAAACUGCAUUCGAUACUGCCGUGCUUGAGGACUGGAGAGGAGACUGGAAUUUACGGUGUAGCGGUGAAAUGCGUAGAGAUC
This 370-nucleotide ribosomal RNA is filed under the name uncultured bacterium. Its description in RNAcentral is "bacterial SSU rRNA". It matches the Rfam family "Bacterial small subunit ribosomal RNA", at positions 335 to 698 of the family's 1533-position model. The record is from RNAcentral.